Molecule: long non-coding RNA, 644 nt
Organism: Melitaea cinxia (Glanville fritillary)
Lineage: Eukaryota; Metazoa; Arthropoda; Insecta; Lepidoptera; Nymphalidae
Exons: 2
Source: RefSeq, a predicted model, not a curated record
AAUCUGGAUAUUUGGCUUGAGAAAUGGGCGUGGUGCGUGGGCGCGCGGUGGAGCGAAGACAAUUUUCUGUCACUAGCCAGUUUUCUGGAGCCACUUGUCCAGUGUACCCGUCAAGAUGCCGAACCACGAGACCACGAGCCUGAUCGCCACCUAUCUCAUCCUGGUGCUGCUCCUCGCCAGCCUCUGGCUGCUCUACUCUGGAAUGUUCUGAGAUGCAGUCGAGGUUAAGACGCUAAGAGCCCAAACACAAAAUGGCGGAAAGACAAACGCUAUGAAAACAAUUAAAUUUUAAGAAACCGUAAUUUUAGUGUCUAAGUUAAUACUAUUUUAAGCAUCGUUAUACUCCCAAGCAUUUAAUUAUGUCGAAUUUUUUGAACAUCUGCUGAAAAGCUAAACUACAGCUACGACCGCUAAUGAUGCGAUUUUAGCAAUUUUUAUGGAAGCGAACACCGAAUUCAGUGCUGGGCAUUCCAAUUUAUAUAAAAAACACUAAAAAAACGCGAGAAAGACAACUAUGUAAAAUGCCAAAAUUAAGUUCAAUUAAAACGUUAAUUUAGUAACAAAUGUCGGCUGGCGCAGUUCAAGUAUUAAGAAUGUUAUCGUUAUUAUGAACUAAGAUAUUUUUAAUAAAGUUAUUUUUAAAA